Non-coding RNA from Paramuricea clavata, 1025 nucleotides. NCBI's taxonomy places the organism in Eukaryota, Metazoa, Cnidaria, Anthozoa, Malacalcyonacea, Plexauridae. The record is from the annotation of a GenBank genome assembly.
AUCACAGUUCUUAUUUAUAGAAUAUAGACUUAGAUAACUACAGAUUUACAUGCACUAUUGUACUUACGACGAAUGUUGCUGCCAAAUGAUAUGUGUUCUGCAAUGUUUUAUUUUAUGUUACGUCUCUGAAGUUACGUAUUACUGCCAUUAAAAGCCAUGUUAUAAUAGGAGGCAAUUUUUGCUGCAACGUGCAACGCAGUGCAUCUUUUCAGAAAGUACUCAGCCUUGGCUAUAGAGACUUGUUUUCAUCAUUUGAGAUACUGGGUUUGGUGUCCUUUAUCUUGUUACAUAUCGACACAUUCACGAAGUCAUACAGUUCUAUUUUUGCUUAUUUAUCACGUUUUUAAAUAGCAAACUUUCCAGGUGGGGAUUCUCAAGUUGAGGAUCACGUCUUUCAUCAACUUCGACAGUAACAAAAUGUUCUGUUUGUGCAGAGUAGAAAUAAUCGAAUGUAACUGUGAUGGGCAAGUUCAAAUUUUGAAGCUCAUUUCUUUCCUGAUUGAUCAUCGUGUAAACAUGGAGAUUAGUUAUCACCAGCGUGUCAUUCACAAGCCAACAUGUUCCUCGAAUUCUUCCACACGAAAUUUGACCAAUAGAUCUUAUGUAAGAGGCCAAAUGUUCAUAAAGUAUCGCAGGCUUUUUAGUUGAAAAAUUUUUGAAUACCUCAUCUCUUGCAAAGUUGAAAAUUUGUGUAUCGGUAUCUACAAAUUUUCCAUCAUUUCUUCCAUAUUUAUUUUUAUUCUGUGGAUUCAACAGGUUUUCGUACGCUGACGAUUUAACAUUUGCUGUCAUCGAUUUGCGAACUUUCUCGGUUAAAGGUUGCUUACUCGAUGUAUAAUGAGUAUAUACAUACUUAGCGGAAAAUGUUUUGAUAUAUUCUUCAAGACGAACCAAGUUAUCGUUUGCUAAACUUUCAGUUCUGCCUGGGUUGCAUGCUUCUACAAUCACCGAGUUUACCCAUUUUACUAGAAAGAUUAAAAUUUGAACUUCAUUCAAAGUCCAAAUGUCCAAAUCCAGAGUUUGAC